RNAcentral lists this long non-coding RNA (1354 nucleotides) under Equus asinus (donkey). Its description in RNAcentral is "lncRNA (ENSEASG00005029873.1)". Lineage: Eukaryota; Metazoa; Chordata; Mammalia; Perissodactyla; Equidae. The record is from RNAcentral.
GAAGACCUCACUCUGAGGGCUUGUGCCGGAGGGUCUAGGAGUCCUAACGUCUAGAGUAUCCAAGUUGACCUGGAGAAAUGGAGGACAAGCAUUCUGGGAAGAUACGAGCCUGUCUAAACUGUAAGAACAAGGUACAGGCAAAGCAUGAGGACAAUUUCAAGCAUAUACGAAAAGUUGAGAGAAUAGUACAAGAAACUUCACAUUCCAUCACCCAGCUUCAACCACUAUCAUCACAUGGCCAGUCUUGUUCAUUUAUCUCCCUCCACUCCCAGAUUAUUUCAAAGCAAAUCCAAGUCAUUGAGUGAUUUCAUCUGUAAAUAAUUUACUAUGACUCUCUAAAAAGAUAAGGAAUCUUGUUUCUAACAUAACCACAUAUCAUUAUCUCCUUAGUAUCAUCAAAUAUUUGCUGUUCUACUUUAUCUGAUGAUCUUAUCAUUUUUUAAAUAUUUUGCCUUAAUAAUUCUAAAUAAUAUGCUUAUAUUUGAGUCAUUUAUUUUCAAAUCCAAUAGCAUGGUUUCUCUAUUCCAGGAAUUCCCAUCUAUUUCAGAGCAAGUGUGCAGAUCACUGAGUGGCAGAAAGGUGCUUGUGGGUGAGAUGUGAUGUCUCCCAGCUGGGGUCCCUUCCCUCUGUGGCCUCCCCCGCCGAUGCUGUCAGUCCAGGCAUCUGCGUCCUGUAAUUAGCUAACGUGGGGCUUUGUGUUUUCCCUUUGUGAAUGUGAGAACAGUGUUGGAGACGCUUGUUCCACACAAGUGUACGUGGAGCUCACUUAUGUAAUAGUACUCUAAUUCAUUCCUGACACUGGAAAAGCAGGGGGAACCAUGCCAGUUGUUUUUGAGGUAGCCAGUGUCGUGUAAUGGAAAGGCAUCACAGUUGUUGGAACUGGGAGAAUUCAGGUUUAAAUCUGGGCUCUCUCACUUGGCAGCUACGUGACCUUGGGCAAAUUACAUAACUUCUCUGAGUCUCUGUUUUCAUGUGUGCUAUGCAUGGAGAGCAAUGCUUACCUCUCAGGGAAGGUGUUGGAAAGAUUCAAUGCAAUAACACAUAGAACAUGCUGGAACUACAUCUGACACAGAGCAGGGACUCGAUAAAUUCUCUCUCUCUCUCAGUAUAUACAUAUACAAACUGUAAAAAAUAUGUAUGUGUGUAUAUUUAUCUGUAUAUAUCCAAAUAUAAUAUUUUACCUUUUAUAGAUGAAUGGAGAACAACUCUAACUCACUUUUAUUUUGCAUAUUUAGUAUCGUAUUUAUUAAAAAAUUAUCUAAUCUUUCUACUUUAAUCUCUACUUAUGACUACCUAAAAUAAAAAUAUAAAAUAUAAUAAAACAAUUCCUUUUAGUUAAACUUCUUUAAUUCAA